RNAcentral lists this ribosomal RNA (278 nucleotides) under uncultured soil bacterium. RNAcentral's name for it is "partial 16S ribosomal RNA". It matches the Rfam family "Bacterial small subunit ribosomal RNA", at positions 26 to 316 of the family's 1533-position model. The record is from RNAcentral.
AGAUUGAACGCUGGCGGCAUGCCUAACACAUGCAAGUCGAACGGGAGUAGCAAUACUCUAGUGGCGGACGGGUGAGGACUACGUAGGAAUUUGCCCUUAAGUGGGGGAUAACCCGGGGAAACCCGGAUUAAUACCGCAUGACCUCGAAAGAGCAAAGUGGGGGAUCGCAAGACCUCACGCUUUUGGAGAAGCCUACGUCGGAUUAGCUAGUUGGUGAGGUAAUGGCUCACCAAGGCGACGAUCCGUAACUGGUCUGAGAGGAUGAUCAGUCACACCGG